This 1410-nucleotide ribosomal RNA is filed under the name Mycolicibacterium mucogenicum. RNAcentral's name for it is "bacterial SSU rRNA". It matches the Rfam family "Bacterial small subunit ribosomal RNA". The record is from RNAcentral. Lineage: Bacteria; Bacillati; Actinomycetota; Actinomycetes; Mycobacteriales; Mycobacteriaceae.
GCGGCGUGCUUAACACAUGCAAGUCGAACGGAAAGGCCCUUCGGGGUACUCGAGUGGCGAACGGGUGAGUAACACGUGGGUGAUCUGCCCUGCACUUUGGGAUAAGCCUGGGAAACUGGGUCUAAUACCGAAUAGGACCACGCGCUUCAUGGUGUGUGGUGGAAAGCUUUUGCGGUGUGGGAUGGGCCCGCGGCCUAUCAGCUUGUUGGUGGGGUAAUGGCCUACCAAGGCGACGACGGGUAGCCGGCCUGAGAGGGUGACCGGCCACACUGGGACUGAGAUACGGCCCAGACUCCUACGGGAGGCAGCAGUGGGGAAUAUUGCACAAUGGGCGCAAGCCUGAUGCAGCGACGCCGCGUGAGGGAUGACGGCCUUCGGGUUGUAAACCUCUUUCAAUAGGGACGAAGCGYRAGUGACGGUACCUAUAGAAGAAGCACCGGCCAACUACGUGCCAGCAGCCGCGGUAAUACGUAGGGUGCGAGCGUUGUCCGGAAUUACUGGGCGUAAAGAGCUCGUAGGUGGUUUGUCGCGUUGUUCGUGAAAACUCACAGCUUAACUGUGGGCGUGCGGGCGAUACGGGCAGACUAGAGUACUGCAGGGGAGACUGGAAUUCCUGGUGUAGCGGUGGAAUGCGCAGAUAUCAGGAGGAACACCGGUGGCGAAGGCGGGUCUCUGGGCAGUAACUGACGCUGAGGAGCGAAAGCGUGGGGAGCGAACAGGAUUAGAUACCCUGGUAGUCCACGCCGUAAACGGUGGGUACUAGGUGUGGGUUCCUUCCUUGGGAUCCGUGCCGUAGCUAACGCAUUAAGUACCCCGCCUGGGGAGUACGGCCGCAAGGCUAAAACUCAAAGGAAUUGACGGGGGCCCGCACAAGCGGCGGAGCAUGUGGAUUAAUUCGAUGCAACGCGAAGAACCUUACCUGGGUUUGACAUGCACAGGACGCCGGCAGAGAUGUCGGUUCCCUUGUGGCCUGUGUGCAGGUGGUGCAUGGCUGUCGUCAGCUCGUGUCGUGAGAUGUUGGGUUAAGUCCCGCAACGAGCGCAACCCUUGUCCUAUGUUGCCAGCGGGUUAUGCCGGGGACUCGUAGGAGACUGCCGGGGUCAACUCGGAGGAAGGUGGGGAUGACGUCAAGUCAUCAUGCCCCUUAUGUCCAGGGCUUCACACAUGCUACAAUGGCCGGUACAAAGGGCUGCGAUGCCGUGAGGUGGAGCGAAUCCUUUCAAAGCCGGUCUCAGUUCGGAUCGGGGUCUGCAACUCGACCCCGUGAAGUCGGAGUCGCUAGUAAUCGCAGAUCAGCAACGCUGCGGUGAAUACGUUCCCGGGCCUUGUACACACCGCCCGUCACGUCAUGAAAGUCGGUAACACCCGAAGCCGGUGGCCUAACCCUUGUGGAGGGAGCCGUCGAAGGUG